RNAcentral lists this ribosomal RNA (683 nucleotides) under uncultured Bacillus sp. RNAcentral's name for it is "bacterial SSU rRNA". It matches the Rfam family "Bacterial small subunit ribosomal RNA", at positions 80 to 749 of the family's 1533-position model. The record is from RNAcentral. Lineage: Bacteria; Bacillati; Bacillota; Bacilli; Caryophanales; Bacillaceae.
GCUUCUUCUGAUUUAGCGGCGGACGGGUGAGUAACACGUGGGCAACCUACCUAGUAGAUUGGGAUAACUCCGGGAAACCGGGGCUAAUACCGAAUAAUCCAUUUUGUCACAUGGCAAAAUGCUGAAAGGCGGUUUCGGCUGUCACUACUAGAUGGGCCCGCGGUGCAUUAGCUAGUUGGUGGGGUAAUGGCCUACCAAGGCAACGAUGCAUAGCCGACCUGAGAGGGUGAUCGGCCACAUUGGGACUGAGACACGGCCCAAACUCCUACGGGAGGCAGCAGUAGGGAAUCUUCCACAAUGGACGAAAGUCUGAUGGAGCAACGCCGCGUGAGUGAUGAAGGUUUUCGGAUCGUAAAACUCUGUUGUAAGGGAAGAACAAGUACGUUAGUAACUGAACGUACCUUGACGGUACCUUAUUAGAAAGCCACGGCUAACUACGUGCCAGCAGCCGCGGUAAUACGUAGGUGGCAAGCGUUGUCCGGAUUUAUUGGGCGUAAAGCGCGCGCAGGUGGUUUCUUAAGUCUGAUGUGAAAGCCCACGGCUCAACCGUGGAGGGUCAUUGGAAACUGGGAGACUUGAGUGCAGAAGAGGAAAGUGGAAUUCCAAGUGUAGCGGUGAAAUGCGUAGAGAUUUGGAGGAACACCAGUGGCGAAGGCGACUUUCUGGUCUGUAACUGACACUGA